AUGUUUAAUACGAUCAUUGAGAGUCUCGAUUUGAGGGAGAUUGACCUCACUGCCAGACAAUGCAUACAGUUCACGUGGGCGAACACAUUGCCGGUUCCAACAUAUGAGAAGUUGGACCAAGUGCUCACCAGCAUAGAGUGGGAACAGAAGUUUCCGUUGGUAACGGUUCAGGCGCUUCAGAGAGCAAUUUCUGAUCAUACACCGUUACUGGUUGACUCUGGGGAAGCGACCCAUGUGGGAAACAGGACCAUUUUCUCUUUCAAAUUAGGAUGGUUCGAGAGGGACGGCUUCAUGGAUCUCAUUGCUAGAGAAUGGGCCAAGGAGUCAGGUGGACAUUCGAAUGUCGAUACGUGGCAAAAUAAAAUUCGACAUUUGCACCAGUUCUUGAGGGGCUGGACCAAGAAUCAAGGACGUGGCUAG
This 420-nucleotide ribosomal RNA is filed under the name Triticum aestivum (bread wheat). RNAcentral's name for it is "partial small subunit ribosomal RNA". The record is from RNAcentral. Lineage: Eukaryota; Viridiplantae; Streptophyta; Magnoliopsida; Poales; Poaceae.